Rosa chinensis is the source of this 2552-nucleotide long non-coding RNA. RefSeq lists it as uncharacterized. The transcript has 6 exons. NCBI's taxonomy places the organism in Eukaryota, Viridiplantae, Streptophyta, Magnoliopsida, Rosales, Rosaceae. The record is from RefSeq and is a predicted model, not a curated record.
GUUAAAAUAGGGAAUGCCAAACAUAACCUUAUACUAACAGAUUGUUAAGUUAUUUGAGAGCUGUGGGGGGUUUUUGUGUAGUUCAUCAUUUAGCUUCGGUCAGUUCUUUUGUAAUCUGAUCUUCCAACAUGGUAUAAUGUUGCCCCCUUAGUUCUUUGAUAUAAUUCAUCUCUCUCCAAAAAAUUGAUUGGUGCUGUUGUUGUCCGUCACAUUUCCUGAUUUCAUAAGGUGGCCAUUCGUGGUGCUUUUCAUGUUCAAUGUAUCCAUGUUGAAGAACUUAUGGAAACCAAUAUGUGACAGAUUUGUCUCUAUUCCUUUUUCUUUUUUCUAUUAUUAUAUUCUCUUGGAUUAAAGCCUGUGAAAGGCAUGCUUGUCGAGUUUUGAGCAGUCCUACAUGCUUUUCUAUCUGGAAAUACACUGACUGGAUGCUGUAUAUGAACAGAUUGUUGAGGUCAAUGAAGCAUCAGUGGAUGUUUUGCAUCAUUAAGUCUGUUGUAGUGCCGAUGUACCUGAGGGAAAGAUUCUGAGUCUUAUUGCUCAUAUUGACCUUUUGUUUAUCCAGCAGGGUUAAUUUUCCAGUUUUUUUUAUGAUGUUCAGGUAAUGGUAAAGAAAUACGUACGGUCUUAGAAUAGCAUAUAGAAGGGAGCUUCACAUUAAACGAAUAAGAAGAGCAGAUAACAGAUAUAUAUGGAGUAUGACCAAAAGUCCACAGGAAGGCACACAACACACAACACACAAAAGUAAAUUAUGAGAUUAGAAGGAUAUGUAGACAAAAGUGUCUGUGAGUAACUGUGUAUACAUCUAUGUAUUGCAAUCACAUGUAAAUUUUCUUCAUCUGUACUUGCUAAUUAUAUCUUUGUUCUUUCCCAAGACUUUUGCAUCAAGCACUGUAUAUAGGACAAUAUUUGUUAUGGAUUUCAUCUUUUUCCUGAUGUUGCUUCUUUCUUGUGCCGGCCCUGCAGUUGUUUCCGGUGCAUGUCGCUUUCGUAACACCACCUUCUAAGGACUUUACAUUUCCCAUAAUCUCUGAAGGUACCAACUCAGCGAAGAGAUAUUACUGCACAUUGAUUGGUUUGGACUUUGGAGACACUGUUACUGAAUGUGAUAUUGAUCCAAGUCUCUCAACAUCUUCCAAGGCAAUCAUCCAACUGGCUUGUUUUCUGAAGCCCACGUGCCCUUCUAAGUUUGUCUUCUUUGGAGAAAAAGACAUCACAAAUGUGUCUAUUCUGAACCUAUUAAAUUUUGGAAAGGUUGAUGGAAUGGAAGAUCUUGAAUACCUUGAACUCUACGUUCUCUGGUGUGCUGGUUCGGGAAACCGCAGUUGUCAUAAUUGCUAACUCAAAGAACUCUUGUAAGAGACAUUAAAGCUAAAAUGAAGGUCAACCUUUGAAGGUCUUUGGUACUGCUCAUAUGCCUUACUUGAUCAACUGUUGCAACCUUCACCAGAGACACCGAUUACUGAUUCUGCCGCAGCGCCUGCCCACUUGAUAGCAAUAAGAGCAUCUUAACACUCCAAGUGCAGCACUAGUCAAUUAUGAAUUAUCACUGGAUAGGAACAUGUUUAAAGGUACUUUCUGUAUAAUCACUGGCUUCAGAAGAGAUUUAUUUUACCACCAAGGGUUUCAUUUAAGUAAUCUAUUGUUAAUCCCUGUUUUUGGAGUUAUUUGGUAAGCCUACACUUACGAGUCAUACCUCAUCUCAAACCAUCACUUUUAUGAUAACAAAGUUGGAUCAACCAAAUGCUAUUUUGACUAUUUCACAUGUAAAUUCCAGGGAUGGAGUCUCCAGUGAAGUCAUACCUUCGUAACAGUUCUGAUGUUGGGAGUGAGGCUUUUGGUUUUAGACUUCCCAUUGAUUUGCUAAUCUUGAUGAAUUACAAUAGAGGGCAAUUUACUUGUUUGAGUUUAUUACUGUAGCCCUUGUGACUUGAUGUUUGUGAAUAGGUACUUCAAAUUGUUAGUGAAUUAUAACAAAUUCAACACAGACGCACACACAAACACCAUGUUUUGGAUGUGGAUCAGUGACAACAACCCUUGCUGUUGAAUCCGACCUGCUGAGUUUUGUGAGGUCAUUGCUGCAGUUUGCUAUGAGGCAUCUUCGCCAAAUGAUCUGUUAUCAGAUAGAUUAUAUUGCACUAUGGAAAGCCGUUGAUGGACGCAGCAGUACUGAGCAUUCUAAUCAAACUUGAUAUUGACAUGUAUGUUUUGGAUUCUGAAACUGCUAUUGUUCUCACUCUGUCAAGGCUCCAGGAGAUGCGUCAAUUACCUUGGUUUUUCAUGACUAGAAUAUGUGCUUCUCUUUCCCCCCUUGUUUAUGGUUUCUUUCAUCAUAUUCCAAUUUUAUCAAUAUGAUCUUUCAUGCUUAAUCCUUCAAGAGCAACUCGCUGGUUCGUGCAUUUAAUUUCAUUUUGAACCUUGGAGUUCAUGUUCAUAUGUUCAAUUGUAAGAGUUCAUCGUAAUCGACGAUAUGCCUCAACUGUGAGGAUUUAAUGUCGAGAAUCAUAUUUUGAAGUGAAGCUAAGCUUGCAACACAAGUUAUUUUGAUGGGCACU